ACGGAACAGAAGGAGAAAAUAGUAUUUCAGUCCCUGGGGCUUGUGCCCCAGUGACCCUGAGGGAUUAAAGGUGGAUAGAAUGCAAUCUGUGACAAGUUCUGACUUACUGAAAGGCUUUCAGUCAUAGAAGCUGAUCCUUGGAAUGGCCCUCGUGGGCCACCCGCUUAAAACAACUUGCAUCUGUUAAGUACCAUGUGCUAGACCUAGACAUUGGGGACAACACGUGGCAAUGGGUGAUUGGAGGCCAGUGAACUGACUGCAGUCCCGAAAGGUUCUAAGACACUGGAAAAGCUUUGCGUUCCAAUGCGCCUUGAUGACUAAAUCCAGAUGAAUCCUCAUCUUUCCUGAGCUCUCUCUCUCUGAUGCUAUUCACCAGUUCUUUUCCUCCUGAAAAUGGGUUCUUCCUUGGAGUUAUAUGACACAGCAAGACAGAGAAUAAAGAGAGAGCUUGCUUUCUUGGGAGAGAGCCGGCUGAACUGUUACUUUGUGAAGAAACAGUAUCCAAAAAGUAGUUCCCGAUGAUUGUGCCUGCAGAUUAUUAAUAGUGAUGACUUCAGUUAAAGAGAUAGUUUUCCUGAUUGGGCUGUAGAGAACUUGGAGAAACGGCAGGGAAAGAAGCUGAAAAGACCUCACUGAAUACAACUGCUUAAGCCCUAAUCUUAUCUUGUGAAGGGAUGACGAGAAUUCUCCAGAAGAAACUAUGCUUGAUAUCUUGAGUGAAUUAAAUAGGGCAAUUGUAUUUUCAGAAAAUAUCUCCAGUAGCCACAAGAAUGGUUUAAGGUGCCUCUUACUCGGGUUUGUGGGGCAGCUAGAAGGUCCAGUGGAUAGAACAGGAUUCAGGAAGACGUCUUCAUGACUUCAUAUCUGGCCUGACACUAGCAAUCUGACCUUGUACUUGAUCUUUGCUAAGGAAACCCCCAGCAGUCAUGAUGAGUUGGGCCUGACUGAAAGGACCGAACAACAAUAAAGUGUUUUGACCGUCUUUUCUCUCGUCAUUCUCUUGGUUCUGUUCACGUCUCCAACCAAUCUUUUUAGGUUUCUUUGCUGGUAAUCUAUCUCCGACCAUCUGAUUUAAGUGUGAGCCUAAUCUUAAGGCCAGGGCGCACAUGACUGUGUGUAUACACACCUAUGUGUUCCUUCAGCUUGAUGGUCUUUUUGCAGACCAUCUGCAUGUUCAUCUCUCUUCCUCCAGGUCCUACUCUGAUGCCUUAGCACGGCAUGAGAGUGACUCUGAGGGAUUAAAGGUGGAUAGAAUGCAAUCUGUGACAAGUUCUAACUUACUGAAAGGCUUUCAGUCAUAGAAGAUAGUCGGAGGCCCUCGUGGGCCAUCCAGUUCAGCUUAUUUGUAAGAAAAAUCCCCUUUAACACCCAGUAAGUGAUCAGAUCUAUGAGUUCUGCUAGAAGACUUUCAAGAACUGAGAACCUACCCGCCCCCCUCUCUCCAGAUAGGCCGUUUCAAAACGAGAGCUUUUGGCAGCUCUAAUUGUCAACAAGUUUUUCCUGACAUUGUCUGAAUUUUCCUCUUUGCAACUCUCACACACUGCUCUUGGUUGCAAGGGGUGCUGACUCCUCUGGGGCCAAACAAAACAAAUCUGAUGUCUUCUCCACACGACGGCUCUUCUGAGACUUGCGAGAGCUUUCGUGUUCUCUCCCGAGUCUUGAUUUCUACAGGAUAACAAUGUCAGAUUGAUUCAAUUGAGUCCUUUACGUCAUAGACUUGAGGCCUUUCACCAUCCUAGCUGCUUUCUUCUGGAUCCUUUCCAGUUUAUUCAUGUUCUUCUUAAACCACCAUGGCCAGAACAGCACACAAAGCCCCAGGGGAGCUUUGGUAGUACAUCAGGACCAUUAUCUCCCUGCUUCUGGGAGCUAUUCUUGUCUUCAGUGCAGCAUAAUGUUGAAUUAGCUUUUUAGGGGGGCUGUGUCAAACUGCUGACUCAUGUUGAGUUUGCAGUCUAAUAAAUCCUGGCCUUUUUUUAGUUUUGUUUUUAAUCUAUUUAUUUUUAAUACACAUUGCUUUAUGAAUCAUGUUGGGAGAGAAAAAUCAAUAAAAGAGAAAAGCCAUGGGAGAGAAAAAUCGAAAAACAAAAAAGAAGGGAACAGAGCAUAACGUGUUGAUUUACAUUCAAUCUCCAUGGUUCUUUUUCUGGAUGCAGGGGGUAUUUUCUAUCCAAAGUCUGUUGGGAUUGCCUUGGAUCACUGAACCACUGAGAAGAACCAAGUCUUUCAUAGUUAAUCAUCGCACACUUUUAUUGUUAUCGUAUACAAUGGUUCUGCUUGAAAUCUUAGCUUUUUCUAAACUAUUAUCUCAUCACUGCCUAAAAGAUUUAUGAAGUGGAUUUUUGAUAAUUUGCCCUUAGGGAAUUUCACCUUAUCAGAGUCCUUUUGGAUACUGAUUGUCUUCAGUUGGGUUAGCAGCCCCUCCCAAGUUGUCAGCUGCAGAUUUGAUGAGUGACCCAUUUAUGUCUUUGUCUAAGUUACUAAUAAAAGGCCGAGCACAGAUUUCUAGGACAGAGACCUCUUACCAAGCUGACCAUAAACCUUAGCAGCUAUUCUUUGAGUCUGGCAAUCCACCAGUUCUGAGUUAUUUGAUAGUAUUGUCAUCUAGUCCAUAUCUCUCCAUCUUUCCCACAAGAAGAGAUGGUCCAGAUCCCUUUCUCAAGCACUAGUGCUGGGCCUUGACAACAGACUAAUUUACUUCCAAGGACUAGCCUUGUUUAAUUAUGGAAAGAAUCGUCACCAAAUGAAAUAUUUGGUGAGAAAUUCUGUGGCCAAAGCAACCAUAGAAAACUAUAAAAUAUCCCUCUGUUUUGGGUCACACCUUUUUUUUUUUUUCUGAGGAAAUUGGAGUUAAGUGACUUGCCCGGGAUCACACAGCAAGGAAGUGUUAAGUUUCUCAAGUCCUCUUGACUUCAGGGCUGGUGCUCUCUCCGCUGCACCACCCAGCUGCCCCCCAGACCUAUUUCUUUAUUGACAGUGACAAAGGAGACCAAAGGUACAGAAGAAUCGGUUUUUAGACUACAAAAACUUAGUUAUUAGUAUUCUCAAUGCUGAUGACUAGAUUUUCUAGAGAAACUGGGUAGAGCAGUUACUUAUUAGAAGAAUUGAAUCAUUAGGUUUGAUGUAUUGUAUAUAAAGCCAGAACAUGAAAGUUUGCUAGUUACAGGGAGGGAUACCUAGCUCAUUUAAAUUCUUAGAAAAGAAGAUCAAGGCGUUUGCAGGAAACGUCUUUUCCUGAGCUAGAUACCCCAUCAUUUCAUAUUGUAUUGUUCCCUCUUUGGAAUUUCAAUGGCAACCGAGGACACCAGGAAGACAAUUGUAAACCUUAAAUAGCUGAUAUGGAAGAUAAAGAGGCAAUGAAAUUCUAUUAAGAUUUCAAUUUUGUUUGGUAUUUCAGUUGUUAAUGAAUAACUUGUGGUCUCCAAAGAUUCCCUCUCUAUUGCUUUGAGAUUUCCUUCUCUAGCUCGUUUUACAGGACGACACUGCGGCCAACAGGGUUAAGUGGUUGGCCCAGGGUCAGAGAGCUACUAAAUCUGAGGUCAGAUUUGAACUCGGGAAGAUGAAUCUGACUCCAGGCCUGGCAUGCCACUGAGCCACCUAGCUAGUUGCCCCUCAAGAUCUCAGUAAGACCUUCCAAAUUAAAUCAACAUAAGCUUAAAUGGAAAAGUAGCAAAAGAUCUGGAAUAGUUAAGUAUUGGAGAAGUCGGGGGGAAAAACUUGGUGAAGCAGUGAUUUGGAAUUACGAUGAGGAAAAACUAGUAACUAAAAAUAUGCACUUCCUUUGAAACCUUCUAUACCUCAAGGAGGUCGAACAGAAAUAGAGAUCCCAUAGCAGAAUGCCCACUGUAGAAUUUUUUGUGUUUGCAAGAAGACUGGAAAAGAAAUAGAAUCACAGGAUCUCAGACCAACCAGUGCAACCGAUCCAAGGACACCUAGGACAUCAAGCCACCACACGAUUACCCAGUCUUUGUCUGAUGCCUGCUGAUGAGGGGCAGCUCCCUAACUUCAGCGACUACUCAUUCACCUUACGGUAAGCAGUCAUUUUUAGGGAGUUUUUCCUGAUGUCAAACCUAAAUCCACCAGCUCCCAUCAUUUGCUUGCUGAGAUCGAACAGCUAAAAAUGCCUCCCUUAAGUCUUCCUUCUCUCCUCCAACUCUCUUCUCCUCAAAUGCCACAGCACUUCAAGAAGGCCCUUCACCAUCCUGGUUGGAUGUUUUCUGGAUGUUCUCCAAUUUAUCAGUGUCUCGUUAAAAUGUGUCCAGAACCGAGCUCAGUCCUUCAGGUGUGUCCCGUCCAGGGCAGAGGAAAGCAGGCCUUUUACUGCCCCAGUCCAGAUACCAUACCACUCUUAAUGUGACAUGAGAUCCACUGGCCUUUUUAGCCACUGUGUAUACAGUUGACUGUGCUCAAAUUCUACUAAGACUCCCAGAGACUUUUCUAGCCAUUUCUCUUGUACUUUUGAAGUUGAUUUUUUGAAGCUGAUUAAGACUACAUAGGAUAUCCCAGAAGUUUAAAAAAAAAAAAAAAAAAAGCUUAAAUUGCACCAAGAUUUUUGGGACUUGCUACUGGAAAGAUUUUUUUUUUUUUUUUUUUGGAAUUUGGACCCUGCCAGCCAGAGUAUUAUUACCUAUUCCUCUGUAAUCCCAAUAGCAAAGAUCUGUGGGCCACCUCAGCAGAAUCACCCUCCCAUUAAGGCAUUCAACGGUUAAUAUGGAUUCUUAGGAUCCAACAAUCAACUCAAUUCAAUUUUUAUUUGUGUCCUCGAGACUGGCCCAUUCUCUUUGUCUUUUCCAUAAGAUUAGGAUGAGACUAUUUAAAAACACUUUAUCUAAGUCUCGGCCAAAACUCUUUUCUAAGGCAAUCUCCUGACCCACAAGUUUAGUAACUCUGUCAACAAAGGAGAUAAGGUUUGGGGGAUAACUCAUGCGAAUUGGUUUCCUUUUCUAUGCUCAUUAACCACCCCUUUAAGAAUAAGUUUUCAGAAUUUUGCCAGGAAUCAGAGUCAAGCUCGGUAGCUUAGGUGACUCAGUGGAUAGAGUACCAGGCCUUGGGUUAGGAACACCAGAGCUCAAAUCCAGCCUGGAGACAAUAGUUGUGUGAACCUCUGCCUCAGCUUCUACAACCAUAAAGCAGGGAUAACAAUAGCACUUGCUUUCCAGAGUUGUUAAGAGCGUCCUGUAAGGCAGGGUUUGUAAAGCACCUGGCAUACCUUCACAAUAAUUGAGAAUUAAUAAAUAAUUGUUCUUUUCUCUCUUUGCCCAAUAGUUUGGAGACAUCACUCUUUUGGUCUUACAAUAGUCUUACAAUAGGUCUCCUUUUCUCUAUAAACACAGAUAACACUCUUAGUGCUUCAGUAGUUGCCUUAUCACUUCUUUCAGGAUAUAGUUCUUCGGCGACAAGAGACCAUAAAUUAUCUAUGGCAGCAACAAAGUCCUCUCUUAUCUAUCACUUUACUUAUCUGGGAUAUCUUCUUCCCUUCCUCUAAUAGCUAUAUUUGUUCUGUUUCUAGUUCAAAGAUCUUUCUUUGGCAAAUAAAACAGAAACAGAAUAAGGGAUAAACAGUCCUGCCUAACCCUUUGUCCACCAGGCUUGCACAGCAGUCGCCUUCUCUGGCCUUUAAUUCCUUUUGCGCCAACAAAGCUUAAAAAACAACCCUUAUGUUUUUAGUUUCCUUUAACCCUCCUAGUCAACCUAAGCUUUAGCAUUCCUAUUACUGUCCCUAAAGGAUUUCCACACCUUUUCAUAUUUUAACCUGUUUAUCACGUAUCCUUGUUCUCUGUUUGUUGGUUGGUCCUCUAGAAACUCAAGAUGGUUUCUCUUGGUGCCUAAAUUAGCAUUUCUUUUUCACAGCCUUUCAUCUCUCCUGGACUUUUCCCCUAAAGAAUCUGAGUCCAUGGGAUCCUUCUUCAGAAUCCUUUGGAAUCCCACUAAUCUCUGGUGUGUGAGAGACUGUGCCCUGCUUUCCUGCCACUAAUUCCAGGAAGGAGUAGUCACUAAAAUUUCUAGGCUAGGAACCAGUUCUUGUUGGCAAGAACAGGAUUUCUCCUAGCUAGCUCUUGCACCUUUAAGUGGACCAUUAUAGGAAAUUGGGAAGGGGUCCUGAUUUCUAACUAAGUGGAUCUUAGUUUCAGAGCUGAGCAGCAAGGGCCCAGGGGAUGUCUCCCAGGGCGGGUUGUCCAUGACGCGCUCUUCUGUCAAGUCUAUAGGGUGGGCGCCCACCUCUUUGCUGUUUCUGCCUAGGAUGUUCUGGUCCCACAUCCUGUUCCCAUUGGCCUCCGUCCAAACACCCUCUGUUAAGCGUCCCCCCCAUCCCCUUGUAACCUUGCUCUCUGAAUCAAGAAGAGGCCCCCAGGACUGAAUUUUACUCUAGGUCCUCAUUGCUUCAGUGACAGAACAGUGAGCUGGCACACAUGCCAGUGUGUGUGUCUGGAAAGCCUUGGGCUCAGCAGCUUUUCUGCACCUCAAAGAUCCUGGAGGGUGGCUGGGAAAGGGAGUGAGCCAGGAGCCAGGACAUGGGCCCCUCCUGCGUCCCUGGGCCACUCUGCCUUGCUGAACGAGCAAACCCAUUAUGACGGGCCUGUGUUGGGUGUGCCCGUUCCUGGCCAACACUUUUACUCUCUUUUAACCUGUGACCCAGAAAAACCUCCUCAGACGAGCAUCCCCAACUUCCUCAACAAACUUCCCUUAAGCCAUUCGGAGUCUUGAGCCUUCAGGGGACGGUGAGAGAAAGUGGGCCUAGGAGGUCACUGGCUUCUCCCCCACCAUGCCGGACUGACUCGGUCCUGCCCUUUGGAGGUUCCGCAGGCCUCCAGGGUUUCCUGAGGGAUCCAUGUUGCCUGGUUCUAUGGAUCUACCCUGAGGUUCUUUCUCAGGCCUUUAUCUGAACCCUGGGCCUCCUCCCCGACGCGGACAGGGCUCAUCUCGGGGUCUGCAGACCCCGUUUGGUUUCACAGUGAGGUCCCCCACACACCCAGCUGCAGCUUCCAGCACCUCUCCCCUCCCCUCCUGCAGUUCUCCCAGGGGCGCUCUCUUCCACAUACAAGCGAUGCUCCUCACAUGUGGGCGCAGAGGAUGGCGCACCAGCCCCAGAAUCAGGAGCCCCCGAGUUUGAAUCUGGCCUCAGACCUUCCUAGCUGCGUAACCUCCGCCAAGCCACUUAACCCCAGCUGUUUCACCCAAACCCAAAGCAGACAGAACACGGCUCUGACCUCGCUACUCCCCUGCUCCAGAAGCCCCAGAAGUCCCCGUUUCCCCCAAGAUAAAGCACACUCGUUCACUUGGCAUUUAAAGCCCAUCAUAACUUGCCUUCCCCGAGCUCUCACGGUCCCCUCACGCAUCUCAGCACCAGGUGGCGCCAUAGCGAACAGAGCCCGGCCUUCAGUCUGGGGAAGAAAGCGUUCAGAUCUGGCUCAGACCCCGGCAGGUGACCCGGCCCAGCCACUUGGCUCUGCUUGCCCCGACUUCCCCAAAUGUGAAAUGAACGGGAGAAGAAAAGGGCCAGCCCUCGGCAUCUCUGCCCCAAACAGAGGCACAAAGAUGGACAGGACCGAACGACAACAUGCACACUGCGCUGCGGCUAAAUCGGCUUAUUUUGUUGUUGGCCAUAAACAACAUUCCCUCUCUCACUUUGGGCCUUUCUGGAAGUCAAUCGGCAAACAUUUGUCAGAUGCCCUUUAUGGUCCAGGCCGUAUUCUAAAGGACAGAGAUUAAAAAACCCCAAACCAAAAACAGAGAGUAAAACCCCAAACCAGAAGUCUCUCUCCUCCAGGAAAGAGAUGCACACUGAGCUGAGGGAAGGCUGGGGGAGGGACCAGGAAAGGCUUCCCCCAGAAGGUGGCGGGGAGCAGAGUCCGACGGAAGCCAGAAGAGGGCAGCCCAGCAGGGUGUGGCUUUCCAGGAUCUGGGCGAGGGGAAGAGGAAAGCCUAAGGACUCUGGCAAAGUGGGGAGAAGCCAGGUUGCCAAGUGCUCCCCUCUCCAGUGCUUGGGUCAAGGGCCACUUCCCCCACCUGUCCUGAAACCACUUUUGCCCUCACAAAAUAUUGUUUCUCCCCUAGAUGCAAAACUCCUCAAGGUGGGAAUUGUUUUGGCUUUAUCUCCGUUUCCCCAGUGCGAGGCACAAAUAUUUACUGACUGAAAUCCUUCCUGUUUUUAAAGAACCCUUCUAUUGUCCGUGCUUCUCUGUGCGAGAAGAGUAUUCCCCAGGAUCCUUUUUCUGCUCUUCCAGGAAGAACGCCUGCCCUUUGCCUGCCUAUAACAGCUGUUUGGACCUAACAGAAACAUCAAUAUUGCACAUGCACGCAGGUGAUUGCAAAACCGGGCCUGACUGAAACUGCAAUCUCAGGGGCGCAAGCCAGGAAGGGCUGAAUAAAUAAUGGCCCAGGAAUGUGAGGUGGUACUGCCGGGUCCUGAGAAAGGAUUCCAGGGAAUGCUGGGUAACGUGGACUGAUGCAGAGUAAACAAGUCACUCAAGGACAACGGCCCGGUAAAGGAACAGACUUAAGGGCUGGUCAAAGCAGGGCUCAACUCUAACCAAGAUGAGCUGGCACGAAUCUGACAAUGAGAGGCAGAAACUGAACUUUGGGUCCGUGACCUGCCGCGUGGACUCCUCUUGCUUCCCUCUGCUUAGUAAUUAUAAAGUUUCGUUUUCUUUCUUUAGUUUGUUAAGGGGGCCUGGGAGGCACAUGUAGUGAUGAUGAUGGGAAAAAAGGGAGGGAAUCAUCGUGAUACUUUAAAAAGGACAUAAAAGAGAAUAGAAGGAAGGAGGACAGUUUUGAAAGUUAACAUAAAAUUCAUUAUAUACUAAAAAUGGAGAUUCAUAGUUCCAUAUAGAAUCCUCCUUUUGUGUUUAGCUGUGUCUAUGGAAAUACCCUUUUCAGGCGUUUUUAAAAAAAAACCCCAAAAACCCAAGAGAUUUACUUUGUCCUUCAUAUACAUUACAAGUGAGACCUUCCAUUGUUUUUCUUGGUACUAGCUCCCUUACAGAAUAAAUCAAACAGAUUCUGGAA
This is a long non-coding RNA of Antechinus flavipes (yellow-footed antechinus), 9003 nucleotides long. RefSeq lists it as uncharacterized. The transcript is spliced from 2 exons. The record is from RefSeq and is a predicted model, not a curated record. NCBI's taxonomy places the organism in Eukaryota, Metazoa, Chordata, Mammalia, Dasyuromorphia, Dasyuridae.